GAACAUCACAGUCUCACCCAGAACACUGUAUCCUGACAGGCUUUCUCCCAUAUUGACUUUCCUUCCAAGCAUGGCUAGCCAGGUGAGCCUUCCACAUGAUUCAUGGAUAAAAGGAAGUGCCCUCCCUAUUCAGGAAUGGAUAAUUGCCAUCACAUACCAGUGGUCAGCAGAGAGUAGCUAGUAAGGCAAGAUCAGAUAAAGUAAGCCUCCCUCUACCCCAGUCCUUUGUAAGCAGUAGGAACCUUUUAAAGACUACAAUUGUAAGGCCAUCUCCUCUGUGCCACUCUCCCCACACACCCACAGCUUCCUUAAUUGGCUCACAUGUUUAUCUAUCCCACUAAGUACAUGAGGAAUGGACACAGUUAUUUCUGCCCUGAAGGAACUCAGAAGAGUGGGAAGGAUGAGCAGUCAACAAUUAUAUGCAGCCUGGUAUGACAUCAGUUGACACAAAAGACAUGUUUUCUUCAGCCUGCAUCAUUUAUGGAACAUUCUCAGAGUAUGAUGGUGAGGCUGCCCUCAAAGGUAAAAAAAAAAAGUAGCAGAAAAUUUGGUGUGUUUCAGACAUUGUAAAAGAUUUGCUAUCUAAAUUGUACAUAUUGCCACCUUGUUAGUCAGGGUUCUCCAGAGAAAUUGAAUAGAAUGAAACUAAUGGAAUGAAAAUAGGGGGAGGAGGGAAAUAUUGAUGGGGUUUAUUAGAAUGGCUGGCAGGCUGUGGUCCAGCUAAUCCAGCAAUGUCUGUAACCAACUAAAAGUCUGAGAAUCUAGUAGUUCUCCAGUCCACAAGGCUGGAUGUCUCAGCUGCUCUUCUGUAUCUUCAGGAAUUCUGAAGUGGGCUCUAAUACCAAUGAAGGAAUGGACUGGCCAGAAAUAGCAAGGACAAGCAGGCAAAGAGCAGAUAUUUCCUUCUUCCAGGUGCUUUAUACAGGCUACCAUCAGAAGGUGUAGUGAAACUUAAGGUGGAUAUUCCUACCUCAAAAGAUCCAGAUUUAGUUUUGCUGAAAGGACCCUGAUAUAGCUGUCUCUUGUGAGGCUAUGCCAGUGCCUGGCAAAUACAGAAGUGGAUGCUCAGAGUCAUCUAUAGGAUGGAACACAGGGCCCCCAAUGGAGGUGCUAGGGAAAGUACCCAAGGAGCUGAAGGGGUCUGCAACUCGAUAGGUGGAACAACAAUAUGAACUAACCAGUACCCCCCA
Molecule: long non-coding RNA, 1190 nt
Filed under: Mus musculus (house mouse)
Lineage: Eukaryota; Metazoa; Chordata; Mammalia; Rodentia; Muridae
Description: long non-coding RNA chr1:30877704-30878894
Source: RNAcentral